AACUCUUGUCAGUGGAUCACUUGGUUUGUGCAUCGAUGAAGACCAUAGCUAGCUGUGAGAAUUAAUGUGAAUCAUAGGACACAUCAACACUUUGAACGCACUUGUAGUCCUGGGUUCCUCCUGGGCUAUGCCUGUCUGAGCGUUG
This 145-nucleotide ribosomal RNA is filed under the name Sphenodon punctatus (tuatara). RNAcentral describes it as "5.8S ribosomal RNA (ENSSPUG00000018606.1)". It matches the Rfam family "5.8S ribosomal RNA". From Rfam's summary of the family: 5.8S ribosomal RNA (5.8S rRNA) is a component of the large subunit of the eukaryotic ribosome. It is transcribed by RNA polymerase I as part of the 45S precursor that also contains 18S and 28S rRNA. Lineage: Eukaryota; Metazoa; Chordata; Lepidosauria; Sphenodontia; Sphenodontidae. The record is from Rfam by way of RNAcentral.